RNAcentral lists this unclassified non-coding RNA (514 nucleotides) under Hevea brasiliensis (rubber tree). The record is from RNAcentral. Lineage: Eukaryota; Viridiplantae; Streptophyta; Magnoliopsida; Malpighiales; Euphorbiaceae.
AACAGGUGGAAGCUACUACAGGAUGUCGUGUGUAUAUUAGAGGAAGAGGGUCAAUAAAGGAUCCGGAUCAGGAGGAGAACCUGCGUGGAAUACCAGGAUAUGAGCACCUGAAUGAACCACUCCACAUUUUAAUUGAGGCGGAAUUACCUGCCAAUAUCGUGGAUAUUAGAUUGAGACGGGCACAAGAAAUUAUAGAGGAGUUGCUCAAGCCAGUGGACGAGUCACAGGAUUAUAUAAAGAGACAACAAUUGCAUGAACUUGCCAUGCUAAAUUCAAAUCUCAGAGAAGAGAGUCCCGGACCAAGUGGCAGUGUCUCUCCUUUCAAUAGUGGUGGAUUGAAACGUCCCAAGACUGGUCGUUGAGAAGUUCAGACAUUCCAUUUCUUGAUCCCAUAUCCGCGUAGCUACCUAAACUCGAGAUAUGAAUAGAGAAAGAGAAAGACAUUCCUUGCGCGGUUGGCAUUGUGGUUGGCUUGUGGAUUUUAUUUAUUUUUCCAGCAGAAGAAACAGAAAGA